RNAcentral lists this ribosomal RNA (474 nucleotides) under uncultured bacterium. RNAcentral describes it as "partial 16S ribosomal RNA". It matches the Rfam family "Bacterial small subunit ribosomal RNA", at positions 29 to 508 of the family's 1533-position model. The record is from RNAcentral.
AAUGAACGUUGGCGGCAUGGAUUAGGCAUGCAAGUCGAGCGAGAGGGGUUUUGAAGCUUGCUUUGAAACCCGGAAAGCGGCGCAAGGGAGAGUAACGAGUAGUUAUCUACCCCAAGGCCCGGAAUAGCUGCGGGAAACUGCAGGUAAUGCCGGAUAAUAUCCCCGGAUCAAAGGUGUGAUUCCGCCUUGGGAGGAGACUGCUUUGUACUAGCUAGUUGGUAGGGUAAUGCCUACCAAGGCUACGAUGCAUAGCGGGCGUGAGAGCGUGGCCCGUCUCACUGGGACUGAAACACUGCCCAGACACCUACGGGUGGCUGCAGUCGAGAAUCUUCGGCAAUGGGCGAAAGCCUGACCGAGCGAUGCCGCGUGCGGGAUGAAGGCCCUCGGGUUGUAAACCGCUGUCGUAGAGGAGAAAGGUCUGAUGAAGAAUCAGAUUUGAUCUAUUCUAGGAGGAAGUCCGGGCUAAGUUCGUGC